RNAcentral lists this ribosomal RNA (773 nucleotides) under uncultured bacterium. RNAcentral's name for it is "bacterial SSU rRNA". It matches the Rfam family "Bacterial small subunit ribosomal RNA", at positions 8 to 798 of the family's 1533-position model. The record is from RNAcentral.
AGAGUUUGAUCCUGGCUCAGGACAAACGCUGGCGGCGUGCUUAACACAUGCAAGUCGAACGGAAAGGCCCUUCGGGGUACUCGAGUGGCGAACGGGUGAGUAACACGUGGGUGAUCUGCCCUGCACUUUGGGAUAAGCCUGGGAAACUGGGUCUAAUACCGAAUAUGACCACGCUCUUCAUGGGGUGUGGUGGAAAGCUUUUGCGGUGCGGGAUGGGCCCGCGGCCUAUCAGCUUGUUGGUGGGGUAAUGGCCUACCAAGGCGACGACGGGUAGCCGGCCUGAGAGGGUGACCGGCCACACUGGGACUGAGAUACGGCCCAGACUCCUACGGGAGGCAGCAGUGGGGAAUAUUGCACAAUGGGCGCAAGCCUGAUGCAGCGACGCCGCGUGAGGGAUGACGGCCUUCGGGUUGUAAACCUCUUUCACCAGGGACGAAGCGCAAGUGACGGUACCUGGAGAAGAAGCACCGGCCAACUACGUGCCAGCAGCCGCGGUAAUACGUAGGGUGCGAGCGUUGUCCGGAAUUACUGGGCGUAAAGAGCUCGUAGGUGGUUUGUCGCGUUGUUCGUGAAAACUCACAGCUUAACUGUGGGCGUGCGGGCGAUACGGGCAGACUAGAGUACUGCAGGGGAGACUGGAAUUCCUGGUGUAGCGGUGGAAUGCGCAGAUAUCAGGAGGAACACCGGUGGCGAAGGCGGGUCUCUGGGCAGUAACUGACGCUGAGGAGCGAAAGCGUGGGGAGCGAACAGGAUUAGAUACCCUGGUAGUCCAA